RNAcentral lists this ribosomal RNA (264 nucleotides) under uncultured bacterium. Its description in RNAcentral is "partial 16S ribosomal RNA". It matches the Rfam family "Bacterial small subunit ribosomal RNA", at positions 793 to 1055 of the family's 1533-position model. The record is from RNAcentral.
GUCCACGCCCUAAACGAUGUCUACUAGUUGUCGGGUUUUAAUUAACUUGGUAACGCAGCUAACGCGUGAAGUAGACCGCCUGGGGAGUACGGUCGCAAGAUUAAAACUCAAAGGAAUUGACGGGGACCCGCACAAGCGGUGGAUGAUGUGGAUUAAUUCGAUGCAACGCGAAAAACCUUACCUACCCUUGACAUGGCAGAGAUCCCGAAGAGAUUUGGGAGUGCUCGAAAGAGAAUCUGCACACAGGUGCUGCAUGGCUGUCGU